RNAcentral lists this ribosomal RNA (2261 nucleotides) under uncultured Erysipelotrichaceae bacterium. RNAcentral's name for it is "partial contains 16S ribosomal RNA, 16S-23S ribosomal RNA intergenic spacer, and 23S ribosomal RNA". The stretch from base 1 to 1520 matches the Rfam family "Bacterial small subunit ribosomal RNA". The record is from RNAcentral. Lineage: Bacteria; Bacillati; Bacillota; Erysipelotrichia; Erysipelotrichales; Erysipelotrichaceae.
GAUGAACGCUGGCGGCAUGCCUAAGACAUGCAAGUCGAACGAAGGGACCCAAUGAAAGCUGCGUGCUUGCACAAAGCCGGAUUUGGAUCAUCCCUUAGUGGCAAACGGGUGAGUAACACGUGGGUUACCUACCUUUAAGUUGGGGAUAACAGUUGGAAACGAUUGCUAAUACCGAAUGUGAUCUACGGAUUAAAGGAGCCUUUAAAGCUCCGCUUAGAGAUGGGCCUGCGGCGUAUUAGCUUGUUGGUGGGGUAAUGGCCUACCAAGGCGACGAUACGUAGCCGAACUGAGAGGUUAAUCGGCCACACUGGGACUGAGACACGGCCCAGACUCCUACGGGAGACAGCAGUUAGGAAUAUUCGUCAAUGGGGGAAACCCUGAACGAGCAAUGCCGCGUGAGUGAUGACGGUCCUCUGGAUUGUAAAACUCUGUUGUUUGGAAAGAAAUGUUAGAAUAGGAAAUGAUUCUAAUUUGACGGUACCAUUCAAGAAAGCCACGGCUAACUACGUGCCAGCAGCCGCGGUAAUACGUAGGUGGCGAGCGUUAUCCGGAUUUAUUGGGCGUAAAGCGUCCGCAGCCGGCUUAUUAAGUCUAGAAUAAAAGCCUGGAGCUUAACUCCAGUUCGUUCUAGAAACUGGUAGGCUUGAGUGUGGUAGAGGCAAGUGGAAUUUCUAGUGUAGCGGUAGAAUGCGUAGAUAUUAGAAGGAACACCAGUGGCGAAGGCGACUUGCUGGGCCACCACUGACGGUCAGGGACGAAAGCGUGGGGAGCAAAUAGGAUUAGAUACCCUAGUAGUCCACGCCGUAAACGAUGAGUACUAAGUGUCGGGUUACCGGUGCUGAAGUUAACACAUUAAGUACUCCGCCUGAGUAGUACGGUCGCAAGGCUGAAACUCAAAGGAAUUGACGGGCACCCGCACAAGCGGUGGAGCAUGCUGUUUAAUUCGAAAAUACGCGAAGAACCUUACCUAGACUUGACAUCCCCGGCAAAACUCUGGAAACAGAGUGGAGGUUAUCCGGGUGACAGGUGGUGCAUGGUUGUCGUCAGCUCGUGUCGUGAGAUGUUUGGUUAAGUCCAAUAACGAGCGCAACCCUCGUCUUUAGUUGCUAACAUUUAGUUGAGAACUCUAAAGAUACUGCCAGUGCAAGCUGGAGGAAGGUGGGGAUGACGUCAAAUCAUCAUGCCCCUUACGUCUAGGGCUACAGGCGUGCUACAAUGGCCGAUACAACGAGUUGCAACAUGGUGACAUGAAGCUAAUCUCUUAAAGUCGGUCCCAGUCCGGAUUGGAGUCUGCAACUCGACUCCAUGAAGUUGGAAUCGCUAGUAAUCCCGAAUCAGAAUGUCGGGGUGAAUACGUUCCCGGGUGUUGUACACACCGCCCGUCACGCCAUGGGAGUCUGUAAUACCUGAAGCCGGUAGCCUAACCUUUUAGGAGGGGGCCGUCCAGGGUAGGACAGGUGACUGGGGUGAAGUCGUAACAAGGUAUCCCUACGAGAACGUGGGGAUGGAUCACCUCCUUUCUAUGGAGUAUAACUAAAUAGAAAAACAACCGUAUAAGAACUUCGGGGCUUGCAUCUUAUCGAUGAAAAGUUCUUGUUAGAGCUAUUUAUGACUCGUUUUACUUAGUUUUGAGAGAUUAUUUCUCUCAGAUUUUGUUCUUUGAAAACUAGAUAAUGCGUUGUUAAUUUUUAUUAACAAUAUAAAUGAGUAGUCAUUAUAAUAAUGACAUUAAGAUCUCAUAACUCAUCAAAUUUAGGAAAAUGGUGGUUAAAUUAAUAAGGGCGUAUGGUGGAUGCCUUGGCAUUAGAAGACGAUGAAGGACGCGACAAACAGCGAUAUGCUUCGGGGAGCAGUAAGUAUGCUUUGAUCCGGAGAUCUCCGAAUGAGGAAACUCACUUACAGUAACGUGUAAGUAUCAUAUACUGAAUACAUAGGUAUAUGAGGACAACCCUGUGAACUGAAACAUCUAAGUAGCAGGAGGAAAAGAAAGAAAAAUCGAUUACCUUAGUAGUGGCGAGCGAAACGGUAAGAGCCCAAACCAGUCUUAGGACUGGGGUUGUAGGACACUAUAUACGGAGUUACAAAAUUUCUUGAUAGCUGAACAUUUUGGAAAAUUUGGCUGGAAAGGGUGAAAGCCCCGUAAGCGAAAUCAUGAAAUCUCUAUAGUGUAUCCUGAGUACGGCGGGACACGAGUAAUCUUGUCGGAAUCCACGGGGACCAUCCCGUAAGGCUAAAUACUUUCUAAUGACCGAUAGUGAACA